RNAcentral lists this ribosomal RNA (255 nucleotides) under uncultured bacterium. Its description in RNAcentral is "partial 16S ribosomal RNA". It matches the Rfam family "Bacterial small subunit ribosomal RNA", at positions 524 to 776 of the family's 1533-position model. The record is from RNAcentral.
UACGUAGGGGGCAAGCGUUGUCCGGAUUUAUUGGGCGUAAAGAGCGUGUAGGCGGCUUCACAGGUCCGCUGUGAAAACUCGAGGCUCAACCUCGAGCUGUCGGUGGAAACCGUGUGGCUAGAGUCCGGAAGAGGAGAGUGGAAUUCCCGGUGUAGCGGUGAAAUGCGCAGAUAUCGGGGAAGAACACCCGUGGCGAAGGCGGCUCUCUGGGACGGUACUGACGCGUGAGACGCGAAAGCGUGGGGAGCGAACAGG